This 389-nucleotide long non-coding RNA is filed under the name Pan troglodytes (chimpanzee). RNAcentral describes it as "lncRNA (ENSPTRG00000054618.1)". The record is from RNAcentral. Lineage: Eukaryota; Metazoa; Chordata; Mammalia; Primates; Hominidae.
AGCUGGCUUCACCUCUCAGUAGGAAGGAAGACACUUGUUUGGAAUAUUGCAGAAUGGUAGAUAUCACAUUUUAUCAAAGGACAGUAAUGCUUGAUCUUCUAUUUCCCACAGAACUCUGGAUCCAGUUAAGAGCAGGAGGGGGAAAGAAGCAGCAAUAUUUCAAAUGUCCAUACUCUAACCUGCAAAAGACACUGAGUAGGUGGAAGAAAACUGCAUUUUACUUCAGCGGCAAGAUAUCGAGCAGGAAUAGAGACACUGCUUGAAGAAACAGGAGAUAGCGGCCGUACCCCACAUCAUCAUAAAUAUAAUCUAGAAUAUGUUUUAAAAAGCUGCCCUAUUUGUCAAUCUGUCAUGAAAUAUAUUUCAGCUUCAAGCCUAAUGCUCCUGGG